GGCACUGAUUGUAUGUCAGGUUGAAGUAUGGAGGCAAUGCAAGCUUGCAAUCCAACCAUAUUGGUAGAAGAAGAAAUUUUUCCGUUGUUGAUAUCAAUGUUUAAACUCACGUCUCCCUGAGUUUCGGUAUUAGAAUGCCCAGGAGCAUGAGGUAACUCAAGCAAUUGUCCUUCAACAUCUCUCGGAACAUCAGUAUUAC
This 199-nucleotide long non-coding RNA is filed under the name Linum usitatissimum (flax). RNAcentral's name for it is "long non-coding RNA (LUSI_LNC000151)". Lineage: Eukaryota; Viridiplantae; Streptophyta; Magnoliopsida; Malpighiales; Linaceae. The record is from RNAcentral.